RNAcentral lists this unclassified non-coding RNA (3376 nucleotides) under Leishmania donovani. Its description in RNAcentral is "gene:LdHU3.29.3330(CDS-product:C-8_sterol_isomera se-like_protein)". The record is from RNAcentral. Lineage: Eukaryota; Euglenozoa; Kinetoplastea; Trypanosomatida; Trypanosomatidae.
ACACAACACGGCGCGGAAUUCUCUAGAUCACUUCGGCGCACCGCGCCUCCUUUUAGUUCCUUUCCGCUGUCUUGCCCUUGUCUUCGUCGGCUCCUUUUAACCGCCCCCGAUCGGCUGCUCAUCUCUGACACGUCUCACUGCUCCCCCUCCUUCCCUCCCCCCUUCUGCCCUCUGGCGAGGUCCGCAGUCUCGAUUUUUUUUUUGAGGGAAUUCCUCCGGCAACUCUUCCGACCUCGUCGAGCGUUUCUUUCGUUUUCGCUGUUGGCUGCUGUCCGCCGGAGGACCACGCACCCCUGCCGCCGCAGCUCAAACGCGGAUCCCCACAGGCAGAGUCGCUGGCAGGCGCGCACCCCGACAAACAUACGCCGCCGCAACGAGGAAGCAGAAAAAAAGACCCCAAAGCGAUAUCCAAGUAAAUGGCGUCGUUCAAGUGCACCAGCCUUCUCUUGAUCAGCGUCGUGGCGGUCGUCAUAGCCUUUUUUGCGUACGUGGAUCAACCAUCGCAUUGGGUGUACGACCCCGUGCGCCUGCAACAGAUUGCGCAGCAGAGCAUUGCCACCGCCCAUGCGGCAAACGGGGGCAAGGCGACGGCAAAGCAGGUAACAGACGAGACCAUUCGUCUGAUCCUGGAGAACUACCCGAAAACGACGCGAUACACGGGCCACUGGCUCUGGAACAACGCAGGCGGGGCUAUGGGGUCCAUGACGGUGCUGCACUGCUCCUUCUCAGAGUACCUGAUUAUCUUUGGCUCCUCUGUCGGCACGGAGGGGCACACGGGUCGCUACUUCUGGGCUGACGACUUCUUCAACAUCCUCGUUGGCGAGCAGUGGGCAGCGCUGCCCGGGGUGGAAGAGAAAGAGGUUUACCGCCCAGGAGAUCAGCACAUCUUGCCACGCGGCUCAGCGAAGCAGUAUCGCAUGCCCGAAGAGUGCUGGGCUCUCGAGUACGCCCGCGGUAACAUCGUAUCGAUGCUUUUCUUCGGCUUCGCUGACAUGUUCAGCUCCACGCUGGAUGUGGUGACCAUCUACCAGACGGUGAUGGAAAGCGCCGGCAACAUGAUUAGGAAUACCUUGAUGGGCAAAAUCUGAGACACGACGCAGACCCCCCAGAACGAGAGUCACGAACGUAAAAAAGGACAUGCAGCGCACUGUCGACUGUGACUGCUCACGCAAUAAGUGGCCACACCGAAGACACAGACACAUACAAACGGUCGGUGGAUAACUCGGCUGCAACAGACGGAGCAGCAGAUGCGCGAAAAACUACAUAGAGCAGCAGAGCACCCUCCUGCUCUUACAAAGAGCACAGACAUUUCUUUCCCGUCAAAAGGUCCGUCCUUCCGGACGUGCAACAUGAGUUGCACGCCACUCCACCCGCCCCCGGCCUGCCACAGACCCCACCGCGCGGUGCGAAGCAGCCGUGGACACACGCGCUAGAGAGUGCGCCGACUCCGUCAUCGGAGCACGGCCCCCUGCGCCAGGCUCCACCCAUCACCGCCGCUUAGCCGGUCGCCUCGCAGCCGCGCCACCCAUUGUGCUGGUCGCCACCCAGUGCAUCUCCUCGCGGUCGCGCAGGCUGUGCCUCCACCAGCAGGCAGUGCGAGGGCCGUGUGGGAUACGUUCGAGUCACGCGGACACGUCGCCUAUCGCGUGGAUGGCAGAAGCGUGCGCACCGUCGCUGGCCUCUCCAGCGCAACAAUGUCCACAGCCUGACCGCCGGCAUGCGUAGCGGUACAUCGCUCUGACCCUCCCGCCCUCCGCCAUGUCCGAGGUGCGUGAAGUUUUCACCACCUGAAGUGGCUCGGCGUUGGCAGUGAUAGGGGGUGGGGGCUGCAUAGCUUCCCCCACACAGAGCGUGGGGAGGGGGAGGGGUGUACUGCGCCCUGCGAUGCCACGCGCGGAGAGGGGUGUCCUCCCCGCUCAACCCGUCAUCGGGAACCAGAAGAGCGUUAAAGCACAGACAAAAAGAGCCAAGAAGAGAAGUUGUGACUUCCGCUGCUGCCAACGCUCUUUUUAUUUUGGUUGCUUCUCUGUUGCUGGCCACCCCACCGCGGGUGCCUGGGUGCGGCACCCAACGCUGUGCGGAAGCCAAGCGCCCACAUCCAGCGCUUCGUGUGGUGGGCCUCGGACUCUUGGUGUCGGCGGACAGGUCUGGGCUGGCGGUGUGCCGAAGAGACGUGCGGCCUUGAUGGUCGCGUUGGGGCCCGCUCGCUACGAAUCGUGCCGACGGCUCAACACGUGUGCGCAACGGCGUGCAGCGGGCGCGAGUCUCUGUGCGGCGCCGGUGGCGCCGCACGUAUCCGAGGAAGGACGAGAAUGCAGGGCGCAUGACCCGACUCGACGGCAGACGGCUCGUGCUGGACGACGAGGAUUUAGCGGUGGCGCAGCAGAGGCAGGUGGGCUGCGGCUGCGUGCGCGUAUUCGCUGAGCUGCUCGCGGUACUAUGGCAUGUAAUCAAGAAAAGGGGUCUGCCGUUUUGUGUACUGACGUAAUGCUUGGAUUUUGGUGGAUUAUGGCUGCAGCGGUGAGCGCUGGUGGUCGUGCUGGACGUACUGCAUAUACGCAGAGGUUCUGGAUUGCUGUAGUACAUCGACCGGCUCUGUGUUGUACAUGUAGGGAAUGAGCUAGACGAUGCCUGCCGCGGUGAAAGUGUGCACCGCUUCUGGGGGUUCUGUGCACUGCCAGAGCAUCUAUUCGUGUACGCAUGUCUGCACCCUCGUCCCUCUUUGGUGGUUUUUGUUCAUGUACGCCGUUACCCACUUUUUUUGUUCGGUUUCCGGAGGCUGCAGGGAGACCUUGAUUCUGUGUUUGUCGGGCGGUGAGCGACGAGUGCUGCCGCGACCCAAGAGAGAGCCAAAGCAAAACACUAAGACGCCAACUCACCAGUUUGUUGGGUUUCGUGGAAGAUCUUGGUAAGAGGCGAUGUUCUCGCUUCCCUGGCUGCCCGAAAGCCUGGCUCGGCGAGCUAUUCCGAGCGACGCCGUGCGAUUCUGGUGGUCAUGUGCCGAUGUGUUCGCGAAAGGCGGCUGCGCCGCCCACGUGACUGUCGGCGUUGUAGUGCUGGAGCGCGUUGCUUUGCUCCACCCCCUCCACCCGCCAUCGCUUUGUUUCUCCCGCCAGGAUCGACUAGGAGGGUGUGGCUUCGUCAGGCGGUGUCCGCAUGCUUCGGAGAAGGUCCUCUCCUUUGGCGCCUUUUCCUUCCUCUGUGCGCGCCAGUCUGUUUUUUUUGUUUGUUUGUUCUUGCGCCGUUUAGCGACCACCACCACUACCCUCCUUGCAGCAACUCGGUGUCAAAAACUCUCACCUCCUUCUCUCUCUUGCGCAUGCGCCGCUGCUGUUUUCGGCCUCCGCCCGCCCCCUCCCCCUCUACACCCAUCCAG